Molecule: ribosomal RNA, 485 nt
Filed under: uncultured bacterium
Lineage: Bacteria
Description: partial 16S ribosomal RNA
Rfam family: Bacterial small subunit ribosomal RNA
Source: RNAcentral
AUUGAACGCUGGCGGCAUGCCUUACACAUGCAAGUCGAACGGCAGCGGGCCCUUCGGGGUGCCGGCGAGUGGCGAACGGGUGAGUAAUGCAUCGGAACGUACCCGGGAGAGGGGGAUAACCGGCCGAAAGGCUGGCUAAUACCGCAUGAACUCGGAAGAGCAAAGCGGGGGACCUUCGGGCCUCGCGCUCUCGGAGCGGCCGAUGUCCGAUUAGGCUAGUUGGUGGGGUAAAGGCCCACCAAGGCGACGAUCGGUAGCGGGUCUGAGAGGACGAUCCGCCACACUGGGACUGAGACACGGCCCAGACUCCUACGGGAGGCAGCAGUGGGGAAUCUUGGACAAUGGGCGCAAGCCUGAUCCAGCAAUGCCGCGUGGGUGAAGAAGGCCUUCGGGUUGUAAAGCCCUUUCGGCGGGGAAGAAAUCGGUCAGGCGAAUAGUCUGGCUGGAUGACGGUACCCGCAGAAGAAGCACCGGCUAACUACGUG